AGUUAAAAAGCUCGUAGUUGGAUUUCUGGGAGGGUGCCAAUGUCCGUCGUAGUACGUGCUGCAGCGGCGCCCUUCCAUCCUUCUGUUAACGACUUUGGGCAUUCAUUUGCUGGAGUCGGGCUCAGAUAUUUUACCUUGAGAAAAUUAGAGUGUUUCAGGCAGGCCAAGCCGGAAUACAUUAGCAUGGAAUAAUGGAAUAGGACUACGGUCUCUUUGUUGGUUUGAGGGACUGCAGUAAUGAUUAAUAGGGAUAGUUGGGGGCAUUAGUAUUUAAUUGUCAGAGGUGGAAUUCUCGGAUUUGUUAAAGACUAACUUAUGCGAAAGCAUUUGCCAAGGAUGUUUUCAUUAAUCAAGAACGAAAGUUAGGGGAUCAAAGACGAUCAGAUACCGUCCUAGUCUUAACCAUAAACUAUGCCGACUCGGGAUCGGGGGCGCGAACUAUCCGCCUUCGGCACCGUAUGAGAAAUCAAAGUCCUUGGGUUCUGGGGGGAGUAUGGUCGCAAGGCUGAAACUUAAAGGAAUUGACGGAAGGGCACCACCAG
RNAcentral lists this ribosomal RNA (542 nucleotides) under uncultured marine eukaryote. Its description in RNAcentral is "SSU rRNA". It matches the Rfam family "Eukaryotic small subunit ribosomal RNA", at positions 617 to 1173 of the family's 1831-position model. The record is from RNAcentral.